GUUAAUCUUAUCCAUAAACUCUCUUUCAUGUGCAAUUUCUCUCCCCUUCAAACUCCCAACACCCUCUAAUUCAAAGAGUAAUAGCGCUGGACUCUUUACUUUGUUGUGUUGAAGGCUUUGGGCUGUUCUUGACAAUGGUGAUCGCGAAAUUCCUCCAUAACCAAGACUAAAUUAUUCAAUAACUAAAUAGGGAGUUAUAAAAGAAAAGAUGUCUACAAUGAGGGAAUUAGAAAAUAAUAAAAAGAAGAAAACAAUAAUAGAGGCCAAGGAUAUUUCUUGGCAGGAGAAAAAAUGUCUUGCAGAUCAACAAGAGGAUGCUCUCUACGAAGAUAUACAAAAUCUCACAACAUGGACCAAUAUGAUAGAUUCCAUGAAUGAUAAACAAUUGAAGGACUAUCUAGAAAAUAGACCAGAGGAGUUAAAGACAACCAAGAUCCCGAAGACCAAUCCUCAUCAUAAUCUAAAGCACAAAAAGGUUGGGAAAUCAAAAUCCUCCACUUCUAGUGGAAUUAUGGCUUCAGUAUGGAAGUUCCACAAGGAAGAUGAUGAUCAACACUAGUAGAUACUAGUGAAGCUAUCAAAUUAAGUGUUGAAUCUUCAACUUCAUUUUUCAUACACUAUUUGGACAAAAUAACUAUGGUGUAAGUACACAUAUUAAUUAUAUAGUUCAUGAAGUUGACCUGCCUUA
Molecule: long non-coding RNA, 688 nt
Organism: Ziziphus jujuba (common jujube)
Lineage: Eukaryota; Viridiplantae; Streptophyta; Magnoliopsida; Rosales; Rhamnaceae
Exons: 5
Source: RefSeq, a predicted model, not a curated record